Molecule: ribosomal RNA, 392 nt
Filed under: uncultured Gammaproteobacteria bacterium
Lineage: Bacteria; Pseudomonadati; Pseudomonadota; Gammaproteobacteria
Description: bacterial SSU rRNA
Rfam family: Bacterial small subunit ribosomal RNA
Source: RNAcentral
AAUGGACGCAAGUCUGACCCAGCCAUCCCGCGUGUAGGAUGACGGCCCUUGGGUUGUAAACUACUUUUAUACAAGAAGAAACUGACGGUAUUGUACGAAUAAGCAUCGGCUAACUCCGUGCCAGCAGCCGCGGUAAUACGGAGGAUGCGAGCGUUAUCCGGAAUUAUUGGGUUUAAAGGGUGCGUAGGCGGGAAAUUAAGUCAGUGGUGAAAGCCCACAGCUCAACUGUGGAACUGCCAUUGAUACUGAUUUUCUUGAAUAUAUGUGAAGUAGAUAGAAUGUGUCAUGUAGCGGUGAAAUGCUUAGAUAUGACGCAGAAUACCAAUUGCGAAGGCAGUCUACUAACAUACUAUUGACGCUGAGGCACGAAAGCGUGGGGAGCGAACAGGAUU